GGAGUUAGCCGGUGCUUCUUCUGUGAGUGAUGUCCUUCCUGCCGGUUAUUGACCCGCAGGCCUUCUUCCUCACUGAAAGUGCUUUACAACCCGAAGGCCUUCUUCACACACGCGGCAUGGCUGGAUCAGGGUUGCCCCCAUUGUCCAAUAUUCCCCACUGCUGCCUCCCGUAGGAGUCUGGGCCGUGUCUCAGUCCCAGUGUGGCUGAUCAUCCUCUCAGACCAGCUACGGAUCGUCGCCUUGGUGAGCCGUUACCUCACCAACCAGCUAAUCCGACAUAGGCUCAUCCGAUAGCGCGAGGCCCGAAGGUCCCCCGCUUUCCCCCGUAGGGCGUAUGCGGUAUUAGCCUGGGUUUCCCCCAGGUUAUCCCCCACUACCCGGGGCCAGAUUCCUAUGCAUUACUCACCCGUCCGCCGCUCGCCACCAGGGAGCAAGCUCCCCGUGCUGCCGCUCGACUUGCAUGUGUUAGGCCUGCCGCCAGCGUUCAAUCUGAGCCAGGAUCAAACUCUGA
Molecule: ribosomal RNA, 511 nt
Filed under: uncultured bacterium
Lineage: Bacteria
Description: partial 16S ribosomal RNA
Source: RNAcentral